Molecule: ribosomal RNA, 568 nt
Filed under: uncultured soil bacterium
Lineage: Bacteria
Description: bacterial SSU rRNA
Rfam family: Bacterial small subunit ribosomal RNA
Source: RNAcentral
GCUGGCGGCGCGCCUAACACAUGCAAGUCGAACGAGAAAGCAGGAGCAAUCUUGUGAGUAAAGUGGCGUACGGGUGAGUAACACGUGGAUUAUCUGCCUCUUUGUGGGGGAUAACCCUGGGAAACCGGGGCUAAUACCGCAUAAGCUCGAGAGAGGAAAGCAGCAAUGCGCAGAGAGAGGAGUCCGCGGCCGAUUAGCUAGUUGGUAGGGUAAAAGCCUACCAAGGCUACGAUCGGUAGCCGGCCUGAGAGGGCACACGGCCACACUGGCACUGAAACACGGGCCAGACUCCUACGGGAGGCAGCAGUGGGGAAUCUUGCACAAUGGGGGCAACCCUGAUGCAGCGACGCCGCGUGAGCGAUGAAGCCCUUCGGGGUGUAAAGCUCUUUCGGCAGGGAAGAUUAUGACGGUACCUGCAGAAGCAGCUGCGGCUAACUACGUGCCAGCAGCCGCGGUAAUACGUAGGCAGCAAGCGUUGUUCGGAGUUACUGGGCGUAAAGGGUGUGUAGGCGGUCCUCUAAGUUUGGUGUGAAAUCUCCCGGCUCAACUGGGAGGGUGCGCCGAAAAC